Molecule: transfer RNA, 72 nt
Filed under: Marmota monax (woodchuck)
Lineage: Eukaryota; Metazoa; Chordata; Mammalia; Rodentia; Sciuridae
Description: tRNA.Ala
Rfam family: tRNA
About the family: Transfer RNA (tRNA) molecules are approximately 80 nucleotides in length. Their secondary structure includes four short double-helical elements and three loops (D, anti-codon, and T loops).
Source: RNAcentral
GGUGUUGUGGCUCAGUGGUAGAGCACUCUCCAAGCACAUGUGAGGCACUGGGUUCAAUCCUCAGCACCACAU